CUGCACAUUCCACCAUCUCGU
Molecule: microRNA, 21 nt
Filed under: Ciona intestinalis (vase tunicate)
Lineage: Eukaryota; Metazoa; Chordata; Ascidiacea; Phlebobranchia; Cionidae
Description: cin-let-7f-3p
Gene: cin-let-7f-3p
Source: miRBase by way of RNAcentral